AAUUUUGUGCUCAAUCUCUCAGUACCAGGGUGAAAGUGGAGACGCAAUCUCCCUUGGAAGACGUUAGUCUCCAUCUCUAACGCUCCAGAGACACGGUUCGCAAU
Molecule: long non-coding RNA, 104 nt
Filed under: Gorilla gorilla gorilla (western lowland gorilla)
Lineage: Eukaryota; Metazoa; Chordata; Mammalia; Primates; Hominidae
Description: ZNRD1 antisense RNA 1 conserved region 3 (ENSGGOG00000040197.1)
Rfam family: ZNRD1 antisense RNA 1 conserved region 3
Source: RNAcentral